CAGCUCGCUUGGACCUCCCCGUGACUCCUGACACUGACUGACCGUGUGAUGUCACACGUAAUGCUGUGUCAGCCAUGUCUUCUGGACAUGAAGAAAAGACAAAGGAAUAGGCUUGAAAAAUAGGAAGAUAAAGCAGGUCCAACCUCCACCCCAACCUCGGUCUUUGGUAUCAUCCGAGAAGCUGACAGUUCUGGUCUACCUCUAAAGGUCUGCCUAUUGAAGUCGAGACCAGUACCAUCAUGUUACCACCACACCUGGCUCUCCAGUAUCUACUCCUCCAGUGGAUCCAGCUGACUGGCCAUCAGUCCUUAAUGACCAUUUACACGUUGAUGUGAUGAGCAGGGGACCAGCAGAAGUUUACGGAGACAUUUAGACUUCCAAAAAGACACUCAUACAGAAGAGGUCUUCCGUAUCAUUAAAUUUCUAGAUCACUCAUAAAGAAGCUGAUUGACAUAUUCAUACAAAAUGAUGCUGUCUACUGUUUUGUAGUUUUGUCUCUUAAACUCUUGUUUGGCUGUUAUUAAAGAAUUGAGCUUUGGUCAGUCAGAA
Molecule: long non-coding RNA, 549 nt
Organism: Micropterus dolomieu (smallmouth bass)
Lineage: Eukaryota; Metazoa; Chordata; Actinopteri; Centrarchiformes; Centrarchidae
Exons: 3
Source: RefSeq, a predicted model, not a curated record